Molecule: ribosomal RNA, 253 nt
Filed under: uncultured bacterium
Lineage: Bacteria
Description: partial 16S ribosomal RNA
Rfam family: Bacterial small subunit ribosomal RNA
Source: RNAcentral
UACAGAGGGUGCGAGCGUUAAUCGGAAUUACUGGGCGUAAAGCGCACGUAGGUGGCUUGGCAAGUCGGGUGUGAAAUCCCCGGGCUCAACCUGGGAACUGCAUUCGAGACUGCCUUGCUAGAGUAUGGGAGAGGGAAGUGGAAUUUCCGGUGUAGCGGUGAAAUGCGUAGAUAUCGGAAGGAACAUCAGUGGCGAAGGCGACUUCCUGGACCAAUACUGACACUCAGGUGCGAAGGCGUGGGGAGCAAACAGG